GAACCUUUGGAAGACAUUAAACAUCCCAAUUAUAGGAAGCCCUAGUCCUAAUAUUGUCCUUCUGGCAUGUCCUUCACAAUGUUGUAGGGUCUACUGCUCAAUGAUCCCUGGAAGAAACCCAACUGCUACAAAGUAGAUGGCUAAAGCCUCUUGCCAACAGCUUCAUCAGUGACCCUGGCAGUUGGCCUCCAUUUCCUUCAGCUGCUCACAUCCCUGGCCUACAGGCUUGACUACCAAGCCAUGCAGUUAAGAAAUCCCUGGCCCCUUCUCUUUCAUGGUUCUGACAAUCAGAUGGAGGUCCUUCACUUCGUGGCAAGUGCUCAUCCCCACUGAAUCACUUUGCCAGCCCCUGCUUUGCUUAUAUAUUCCAUCAUCUAACUAUAAGUUAUUUUAUUGUUUCAGUUUGUUUUAGACGAAUAAACAUUUUAAACACAUUUUCA
This 440-nucleotide long non-coding RNA is filed under the name Mus spicilegus (steppe mouse). RNAcentral describes it as "lncRNA (ENSMSIG00000024852.1)". The record is from RNAcentral. Lineage: Eukaryota; Metazoa; Chordata; Mammalia; Rodentia; Muridae.